UACGAAGGGGGCUAGCGUUGCUCGGAAUCACUUGGGGCGUAAAAGGGUGCGUAGGCGGGUCUUUAAGUCAGGGGUGAAAUCCUGGAGCUCAACUCCAGAACUGCCUUUGAUACUGAAGAUCUUGAGUUCGGGAGAGGUGAGUGGAACUGCGAGUGUAGAGGUGAAAUUCGUAGAUAUUCGCAAGAACACCAGUGGCGAAGGCGGCUCACUGGCCCGAUACUGACGCUGAGGCACGAAAGCGUGGGGAGCAACAGG
RNAcentral lists this ribosomal RNA (255 nucleotides) under uncultured bacterium. Its description in RNAcentral is "partial 16S ribosomal RNA". It matches the Rfam family "Bacterial small subunit ribosomal RNA", at positions 524 to 775 of the family's 1533-position model. The record is from RNAcentral.